RNAcentral lists this ribosomal RNA (492 nucleotides) under uncultured bacterium. RNAcentral describes it as "bacterial SSU rRNA". It matches the Rfam family "Bacterial small subunit ribosomal RNA", at positions 28 to 507 of the family's 1533-position model. The record is from RNAcentral.
GAUGAACGCUAGCUACAGGCUUAACACAUGCAAGUCGAGGGGAACGAUAGAGAAAGCUUGCUUUUUCUAGGCGUCGACCGGCGCACGGGUGAGUAACGCGUAUCCAACCUGCCCAUCACUUGGGGAUAACCUUGCGAAAGUAAGACUAAUACCCAAUGACGUCUCUAGAAGACAUCUGAAGGAGAUUUAAAGAUUUAUCGGUGAUGGAUGGGGAUGCGUCUGAUUAGCUUGUUGGCGGGGUAACGGCCCACCAAGGCGACGAUCAGUAGGGGUUCUGAGAGGAAGGUCCCCCACAUUGGAACUGAGACACGGUCCAAACUCCUACGGGAGGCAGCAGUGAGGAAUAUUGGUCAAUGGGCGAGGGCCUGAACCAGCCAAGUAGCGUGCAGGAUGACGGCCCUAUGGGUUGUAAACUGCUUUUAUAAGGGAAUAAAGUGGGAGUCGUGACUCUUUUUGCAUGUACCUUAUGAAUAAGGACCGGCUAAUUCCGUG